UAAAGGGGUCCUCUGCGCCUGCGUACAGACUUCUUUCCCAUGGAACCUUGGGCUGACCAGGGUAUUGCCUGAGUGGAUUCCACCAGGUAACAGGGGCAGGCCAGCAUAAUGCCUGAACCUUUCAGGCAUGCUUUGCAAAUCUACAAGCACUAGAUCUGCAACAGUGGCUCUUUGAAGUCCUGUGUUCUUUUAAACUUACAUAUUUAUUUACUUUUUUUUGAGACAGGGUUUCUUCCUGUGUAGCUCAGGCUAGCCUGGUAUGCACAGGCAGGGUAUUUCUGAUGGACCGGAGGAAUGGCCAUCUUCAGGACAGUCAUGGACUAAUAAUAUUGUUAGCAUUGUUACAUAGAAACUACAGUAUUUUAUGUGGCCCAUCUCACAGCCACUCUAUGGUGGUAUCACCACCAUUUUAUAGAUGAGGGUAUUGAGCUUCCAGCCAUCAUUUAUUUCUCUAAUGUCUAGAAAGUUGUCAAGAAGUUAGGGUUUAAAUCAAGGCAGGUUGGAUACACUGUCCAAACUUUUCAGAACGAUGCUGAAGAGCCUGUAGUUGCCCAUUGUGACUUUAAUGUCUAGCAUUAUGGAUCACUGAAUAUAGCCACUGACUGUUUCAAAACAGCCCCUCUCCUAUUCCGUCUCACGUGACCUUCCAGUUAAUUAUGCCUACAGAAGCAAGUGUCCACAGCCGUAGCUACAGACACUUGCCUAUGCAAAUAUCUUCUUAGCACACUAAUAAACUUCCUCUAUCCUUUGGGCUUGUUUUGGUGUUUCAUUUAUUACCCUCUUGGAGAUUAUUUGAUAGCUGUGACUAACCCUCACAGGGUAUUUAUGAUUAUUAAUCAAUAAUUAGUUUAGAAUAACAAUGAUGAAAUCUGAAAAGGUUUCCUCUGGCUUGUUUGUGAUUACAGAGUGUUCUAGUGUAGGUCUGAGUCCCUACGGAUUUGACUCAGUGGUAGGGUGAGUCCUCAGCAUAGCCAAGGUACUGGACUCAAACUCUCACAACACAACCAUCAGUGAUUUUUAGAACUGGGUGAUGAGCAUCAGGUUGUCUCCAAUCUUCUGCCAGCUCAGGGCUGCUGCGAACAGCUGGGUUCACCUCGUAAGGUGGUACAUCCAUUCCUGGUGGUUGAGUUGCUGGGUCAAAGUCAAAUGUGUUAGUGUUGUCAGCUGAAUCUGUCAUUAUUUAAAAAAGGCACUGAGACCUUUUAAAAAGGGAUAUUGCUCUUGGUGAUAAAGCAAGAACAACAGACUUGUCAAGGAACUCUGAAGAUGGCUCAGUUGGUAAAGCAUUUGCCAUGAAAGUUUAAAGACCUGAGUUAGAUUUCCAGAACCCAAAGUGUAGUGGUACCCAGUAUCCCCAAGUUGCAGAAAUGGAGACAGGCAGAUCCCUGGCCAGCCAGCCUAGCCUACUUGAUGAGUUAUAGGCCAAUGAGAUACCCUGCCUUAGGGUUUUUGUUAGUGAGAAGACACAUCAUGACCACAGCAACUCUUAUAAGGAAAACAUUUAACUGAGGCUGGCUUAUAGCUCAGAGGUUUAGUCCAUUAUCAUCAUGGCAGGGAGCAUGCAGGCAGACAGGGUGCUGAAGAAGUAGCUGAGAGCUCUACAUCUACAUCAGCAGACAUCAGGAAAGACUGAGUGAGCCACAGGGCCUGACUUGAGCUUCUGAAACCUCAAAGCCCACCCCAGUAACACAUUUCCUCCAACAAGACCACGCCUACUUCAACAAAGCCACGCCUCCUAAUAAAUAGUGCCACUCCCUAUGAGCCUAUGGAGGCCAUUUUUAGUCAAACCAUCAUAGAUCCUGUCUCAAAAAAAAAAAAAACAAGAUUAAAAAUAAAAUAAAAAGGUGAUGACUGAGGAAUAACACCCAAGAUUGUCUUUUUCUGUACACACGCAUGUGUAUAUCCCCCUACAUGAACACACACACACUCACAAACACCUGGAAAUUGUGUCCAAAGACCUGCAUUUCCUCUAGAGUUAUGAAUAAAUGUAGAUGUAUUCACUAUUACACAUUGCUGUGAUCCUCUGAGUCCAUGUUCCUAGAGCCUCCCACUAGUUUCCUGCUUUAGAAAUCUAGACUGUUGCUCUAAAGUUUCACAUUCUUGCCACUUUUUUACUUAAAACAUUCUUCCUAUACAGUAUUUUCAGAAUUUUAAAACAUUCUUCCUAUACAGAAUUUUCAGAAUUUUAAUAAUCUUCUACUACUUGAUCACAUCAAAAAAAUAAUAAUCCUCCGUUAAUUAAUCAUUUACGUUGUUUUUCAAUUCUGCUUUGAGUAUCCAUGUACACAUCACUGUUCAAAUUUGCUUUAUUUCUUAGUCAUUUUUGCCCUAAUAAUUAGAAUAAGUCAAGAGAAAAUGUUCUUACCCAUAUUCUAUGGGCUAUUGGGAUCAAUGACUUCAGGUUGGAAUAGGCAACCUUAAAAGUGUUUAAUAAUCACUAUUAAUUUGCCCUCAUAAAGUUGUACAUGCUUGUAAUUUCAGCACCAUUGAGGCAGAGGCAGGAAGAUUGGGUGGUGGCACUUGCCUUUAAUCCCAGUACGCAGGAGGCAGAGGCAGCUGGAUAUCUGUGAAUUCAAGGCCAGCCUGGUCUACACAGAGAAACUCUGUAUAAAAAAAACCCAAAAUAAAUAAAGUUAAAAUAAAAUACAGAUUGUUCUCCCAGAAGAUUGUGCCAAUUUAUGUUCCAAUCACCCUCUCACUUCUUUACCAAUACUGAGUUUUACCAGCAAAGGUGAUUUGUUUGAUUUUUAGAUGGAGUCUAUGUUGUCCCAGGUGGGCUCGAACUCCAAGCUCAAGAGAUCCUCUCGCCUCAGCUUACCAAGUAGCUGGAACUACAGGCAAACACUGACAAGCCUGGCUCUACCAAGUUCUGUUUCUGGUUAUACCCAUAAUGCUUGCUUGUUCUGAAAGUCAACUGAAAAUUAGCAAACAUUCAAAACAAAAAUGCAAAUCCUCAGGUAGGGCAUGACCCAAAUCCUAGCACUUUGGGGGAUGAAGCAAAGGGAUCAUGAGUAUGAGGCUAGCCUGGGCCAUGUGGAUAGACACAAUCUCACUAGCAAAACAAAACAGAAAGUAAACUCCCAUCAUUACACAGUUUUGGUUUAAUAUCACUGCUUUGCAGCUUUUAAAAAUCCAAAUAUUUUCCAUGAAAUUGUCACUGACUAUGCUUCAAAAACAGGAGUUUCAGGUUUUGCCAAGUCUAAGCUAAAAAAAAAAUGAAAUCUCAUUUUAAUUUGUCAUAUUGGCUGCAAAUAUUUUUCUCAAUCUCUUGAUGACUUUUUCGUGUAUUUGUGGUGUUCUGAAUGCUGAUGAGGUCAGAUUUAGAAUCGAUGUUCUUGCACCUUAUCGUGGCUCUUAAAAAUGUCUUCCAGUGGGGACAGGAGUGUUAAAUAACAUCGAAAAAUGAAGACCUUGGAGCUGGAGCUGACCUCAGCUGACAGAGUUGAUGCUUGAAAACCUUGGCUUCAAGCCCCAGUACUGCACAAACCAGACAUGGGGCAGCAGUGUCGGAAGUUCAAAGUCAUCCUCUGCUACAUAGCAACCUACACGCAUCUGGUAGACAUUAUUGUGUGUAUGUGGCAGGGAGCACAGAUGAUUCUCUGACUAGGAAGGAGAGAAGUUAAACAUGAGCUGGUGUAGAUGCCCAGAGAUCUUCAAAUGAAGAAAGUGUAGGCAGGGAAGCCUUCCCAGAAGAGGAGGCAUCUGAGCUGGACCUGGGUGGCCAGGCUGGCAUGGACCAUGUGAACAUGAGGAAAGAAGAUACAGCAGAGGCCAUCCUGAGGAUGUCACAUUCUUUGCAGGACAGGGGCAAGGAGACACUGUGGGGCUUCGGCCAGAACACUUAUCCUUAAAAUACUGUGCUGAGAAGACAAGAGACAGGGGAUCCCCAGAGCAAGCUGGAUUGCCAGACUAUCUGUCUCGUGAUCUCUGGGUUCAACUGAGAGACUCCGUCUCAGUGAAGAAGGUGGAGAAUGAUUGAGAAAGACUCCUGCAGACAAUUUCAAGCUCAGACCUCCACAUGUACAAGUAUGCAAACAUGUACACAUGCACAUAGGCAUCUACUCACAUGGGUGUGCCCACAUACGAGUGAACAUGUAUAUAUUCAUGCAUAUCACACAAAUACAUAUAGCAAACAAACAAAACAAACUUCAUGUGUGCAGGGGGUGGGGGAGUAGCUUUUCAUUAGCAAAAUGGAUGGUAUUUCCAGCUGGGGCAAAAGGUCUAAAUUCUCUAGGCCAGAAAGCCCUCCAGCACUGAUGAGUCAUCUGUGGGUUCCAGGACAGCUUGGAUUAUGACACAGUACCUCUUACAUCUAUGGGAAGCUAUCACCUUGCAUAGCUCUGUGCUCUGGGACAGCAUUCACAAUGUUGUCUAUGACAAACAGAGAUGGCAAGGCUGAGGCUGACCAUGGGACCACUUGUCUGGGAUGGAGUCUUUAACUUGGACCAGGCAGGGGUGGGGUGGUAUUCAUGGUGUGAACUGAACUGAGUCCUUUGGAAGGGCAGAAAGAGGUCUUAACCACUGAGCCAUCUCUCCACCCCUACAAGGGGGCAUUUUGAUAACGAGAUUUGGCUACCAACACCAUUUUUACAUGAAUAGAUUUACAUGUAAAUGAGAAUGGCACAAGACCUCCAAGUCUUCCUCAAAAGUGAGGAAGCCAGAAAAUCUGUGCUGGAACCAAGGCCACCAUUUGGGAGUCUCAUUCUGAAUGUGACUAUGGAAGGAGAGGAAUCUUUCCCAAGGGCAGGACUGGACUAUCAGGUGCUAUUCAAGGGACUGGCCACUGCCAGAUAGAGAGCUCCGCUCUUUUUGUGUGGUGACGGGACCUGACAAUGUGGGAUAGUAUUUCCAGGCUGUUUGCUCAUCCAUGUUUUCAUUGGCUGCUUCUGUGUCUACUUCACAGCUCUGUAAAAACUAUGUGAGAAGAACUUAUCAUUAGUACUUAAGUCAUCAGGACAUAAAACCAAACAAAAAUCCACACACAUCACAAGUAGAUGGAGAGCCACUCCUAAGUAACUUUCUUUUAGUCAUAUGACAUGAUGACAUUUGGUUUGUGUUGUUCUCAUGGGGAGAAGAGUGACUACAUGGGGCCAAAGCAGUUCACUGUCCCUCAAAUUCUUUCUCAGAAAUAGACCACCUGAAUUUUACUUAGGAAUACUGUUUUCUUUUCUUUUUGACAGGGUCUCAACCAUCUCUGGCUAGCCUGGAACUCAUUAUGUAGACCAUGUUGGUAUUGGAUUCAUAGAGAUCUGUUUACCUCUGCCUCCUGAGUGCUGGGAUUAAAGACAUGUGCCACCACACCCGCCCAGUCUUUAAAACUUUUUUUUCUAACAUUUAUGUACUAUGUGGGAUUGCAUGGACUUUGCUGCUGGCAAUGUCUGCUGUGUCUGAACUGCUGGCCCCACACAAUGGCAGAGAGGCCAGCUGCAGCCUUUUCAAGCGUCACGAAAUAUUAUAAACAUCUUCUUUGCUGUAAUUUAAUUUGUGACCACUUGAAUCCUUGUAUGUGGAGUCACAGAUACUGAAGGCUAACAAGAUCUUGCUAAGUUGUCCAGCUCAAAAUGACAAGCAGAUAUUUCCUCCUAAGGACCCUGGCAUGACACAGUAGGAGACAGCCCAUGGGGUAGAAGCAUUUAAAACAGAAAGCAGUAAGGCUUAGUACCUGCAGUGAACUAGGGCAGGCUCACCGUCUACCCUCAGGGACCUCACGUACUUCACAAACUCCAAGAAGUCUGAGGAGUCAUCAGGCACGCCGUGGUCAGGCCACGCAACGUACUGGAGAUGGGUCACUGUGUGUUCUUCCCCGGUCUGUGGAAGAUGUGGCCUCGAUUUCUGUGUUGGCCCAGCUAGCUCAAGCCACCUUCUUGCCUUGGCCUCCUGAGUGCUCGCACUGCAGGCAUGUACCAUCACUCACAGCUUAGAGAGAAAGAAAAUAAUUCUUCCUCAAAUCUAGACUGCUACCCGUGUAAGUAAAAAUGACAUUUGUUUAUAGCAGAAAGGUGGUAUAUAACUAACAGACACACAGAAUUUGUCGGGAAACAGCUCUCCUCGCCUUCUUCUCAAAUGUCACAGUGAAUAUCCGAAAUUAAAGUAUACUGUGGGGGCUGGAGUUAAAGGUUUAUUGAAACAGUUUGGAUGGGAAAUCGGUCCUGGUGAGGAUUUACUCUCUGCCUCUUCAAGAUUCAGAGUGGUCACUGUCAGCAGAACCAGAGGCAGGGCAGCCAGAAAAACACUGUACGUCUGUCUGUCUGACCAUCUGAACCUGUGUUUAUCUCAUCUACACAGAAGAAAACUUCCCCAUGGACUCCUGCCCUAGAAUAGCUGGGGGACGAUACUCUCCAAAGGGUAAUGACCUGUGCAAGGCAGAGUUACACAGACCUGCACUCCCCAGUAUCUUUAUCCACAGGAAUCUGCAGGGAACUGGCCUCAUUUUAGGCCUAUCUGGAUCUGGAUGCACUAGGGGUGCAGUGGAAGAAUCAGAAGUCUACGAAGGGCCUCUCUCUUCACUCUGUUAAUAUGCGCUAGAACCCAGUGUGUAUCCUGCGAGCCUGUCUCUCAUGCCUGCUCAAGGAGGGAUGCAGAAGCCCCACAUCUUUGGAAUAGUAUCUGUUAAGCCCCAGGAGGUGCUUUUAUGGAUGCUGCUUAUAUUGACCUCAAGACCACUCUCUGAGGUAGGAAUGGUGACUAUGAAUGGAUAGACUGAGGCUCAGAAGACCUUACCCCAUGUCAGGUCACAAGAACUACAGGACAGAGCCUGAAUUUCAUCCCAGGUUGGUGCCCUCUGAAGGGACAAGAGGAAAAGAAAGGGGCCUGCCACCACUGAGAAGCAGGUUAUGGAAGAACAACGGAUCCUGUAGCUGGUUGGUAGGCCACAGCCACUGGCAAAUGUUGCCAGGUGUUGGAAUACUGUCUCUAUAAGGCAUCAUAGGCUGCUGAAACUACUCUCAUCUUCUGGUCCUAGCCAUGCAGUAACUCUGAGAAGAGGAUUUGGGAAGGAAAAGUUGACACUGAAAUGGCUUUGGAAAGGAAGUGCUUUAGGGUUCCAGAGGAACAUGCAGAAGGCUGGGUUCCUGGCAGAGGAAGAAUGUCUCAGGAAGAAGGGCCAGAUGGGGUUUGUGGGAGAGCCGUGGGCCCAAUUAAGAAGACUGUAUCAUCAGCUCUUGAUUUUUUGCUAAUUUAGUUGGUCAACAAGCAUCCCUGGGGAAGGGUUUGAUGAAUCAGAGAUACUCUGGCAUUAUCUUCUGGGUGCUCUCCAAUCCAGUCAAAGUAAUGCAGGUAGAAAGAACAGGCACAUGUUGGGGCAGAUCAGGUAGGAGUAACAGAUGUCCUGGACAGAGUGGGCAGGAAGCUCAGGACUAAAGGCCUACAAUGGAUGAGGCAAGGGGAGAUCAUUUAGGCCAAAGGAAAAGGAGAUAGGAUGUAAAGGGUCUCCUGGACACCCAGGGGACAACAGACCACUCAGGAGAGCGGUGCAAAGGGUGAAAGUUGGUUUAGAGACAGGCAACAUUUUGCUCUGUGCAUCUAGGGCCACUCCAGGGGAUAUCCAGGCAGGAAAUGCAGUCUCAGACCCUCUGGCAAGGCUCAGCUGAGUGGAUGAGACUAGCCUAUGAAAAUUCUGGGCCAGUGAGCUGUUGCUUCUGCAGUGGGAGAGAAACGGGAAGGUUCUGAGAACAGAGAGGGUUGAGAGAAACCAAGUGGUACUCAUAUGGCUACUGAUGGCAUUAAAUAAUAGUGAGUGGAUGAAGUGAAGAAACAGGACAGCUGAGACCUCCUUUGAUGGCUAGUGUUGGCAGCUAAGUUAAGUACAUUGAGCCUCUGGCUCGGAUAGUAGGCUCAGGGAGAUGGGCUCCAUGUGUACACAUGAGGGGUAGUUGUUGGCUUUGGGAUCUUACGUAAUGACAGUAAGGUAGAUGUGUCCAACCAGAGAGUAAGCAGUUGGCCUGGAGGUUCACAAGAUGGAAGGUUUAUAAGGCUAUCUGAGGGCAUCCCGCGACUAGCCACACUCAGAAAUCAGUUCUAUGGGGAGGGAGCCAUCUACCUCUAAGGGCACAGUAUCAAGCACAUACAGAGAACAAGGGAGUUGUAAGAGGGAGGUCUGUGUCACCCCAAAUCUCUUCUUGUCAGCCUCCUGACAGUCAUGGGCUUUAUUGCUACUCAGAGCAAAUCCACUGUCUCUGGUCCAGUGAGACAACAGGACACCAGGGCUUAGCCAUUCUCAACACUCAGAACCACUCAGGAGAUAGGCCUUUGUGAUGAUGUGGAAACUGGAACCUUACAGUCCUAUUCAAAGUCUGUGCUUUAAGUGACUGUUGGGACAGGAAGGAAGAUUAGUCACAUUAUUCAUGUAGAUAUAAAAUAUAGCCCUCCCCAAGAAAAAAAUCAUCUGAUGGAAGGCAAGGAAUAUUGGUUCCCCCAAGUCUCAAUAGAGAACCUACCAAAAGCACCCUCAGGAGAAGUGAACAAUGACAGAGGUCAGUGACCCUGCAGGCUGCAAGCUUUCUGAGUGCAGGUGAUGAGAUGCUUCAGGUGACUUCCUGAACACAGAGAUUGCAUAGACUCAGUGCAGCACAGGAAGGGCAUGGGACUCUAGGGCAUGCCAGCCGAGAGACCCACUUUCCUACAGGCAUGAACGACAGAGGGAGAACAAACAGGAUGCCCUGGAAAGUUUAUCUUACAGCAAAAGAGGGGCAAAGUCAUUCACCUGGAAUGACUGAUUCGGAAGAAGUGGUGAUUGGGAGAACAAAGGGUGCAGGUCAACUGAGAAUCUGUAACAGGAGAGGAAGCAGGCACUUUGCACUUUGAAAGAACAGGUUUUCAACUAUUGAUGAAUGACAAAGUAGGUGGCCAAGGCCAGAGAUGCUGAAGGGAUGGGCAGGCCUCCUGGGACUCUCAAACACAUGGAAACAGGGUGAUGAGUUACACUAAGAAGAAAAGGUUGGGAAACAAAGGAAACACACUGGGUCACAAGGAGACCUCAGAUGACAGGAGAGGGCGACUGCAGCUUGGAGCUGGAGGGGCGGGUCCUGGAAGAGCGGAAGGAUGGCAUCGAGGUUUCUGGGAUCACAGAAAAGAUCUUUUUUUUCCUGAGCUGGAACAAGCAGAUGGAGGGAAGAAGGAGCUGCCACCAGAGCUGAUCAUCUGUCACCUCUCAUUCCUUCAGGGGCUCCCUGUUCUGAGGAGAAGAAUGGCGGUCUAUCUGCAAAGGCGAGAGCCAACUUUCAAACAGCAAGAAGCCUGACACCAGCGAGCCAGUGUAGGUGCUGAGUCACUGGGCAGAUUCAGGUGUUAGCUCUGAGGAAUGACAUCAUAAACACAAAGACCUCAGGGGACAGCAUAGUGUCAGCUCCACAAACUGCUCCUGAGGAAACGUGGAGUCUGGGUACACAAAGUACCAAAAUAUAAAGCGAAAUAAAGGCAGGCAGAACACAGACUAUCUGCUCUCAAUAACAGCAGAAUUGGAGGCUGCCAGGUAUGGAGGCAGAUUCUUGAUCUCGGGAGUCAAGUGACUCACUGUGUCACCAAAGACUCCACCUGGGUCUAGGACCAACCGACCACUGGAGUGUUCUAUCCCUAACAUUUCCUCACUUUUCUCACAAAACAUAAUAGAAAAUGAGAUGAGUAUUGCUGGCCUCAGCUAUAGGGCUUGUGAGAGAAGAACACUUGGACUUUAAUAUCAGUGUUUCAUAUUUGUUUUGUUUGUUUGUUUUGAGAUAAUGUCUCAAUGUAGCCAAGGUUGGCCUUGAACUCAUGAUCCUUGUCUGUCUGCCUCUUGAGUGUUGGAUUACAGGUGUUUGCCACAAUGCUUGGCUUUAACACUUUUUGAAAAUUUUACACAUACUUCUGCUUUUGGCAAAUGAUACCGGAUUUAUAUUUAAGAAACAUAUUUGAAAGAUUAUUAAAGCAAAAACAAAGUUUGCUUAAUAGAAAGUAAAACCUCAAAACAAAUACAGUGCAAUUCUGGUAAUACUCAUUAAGGUAAAUACAGAUGGAUGUUAUUGCUA
Molecule: non-coding RNA, 10001 nt
Organism: Cricetulus griseus (Chinese hamster)
Lineage: Eukaryota; Metazoa; Chordata; Mammalia; Rodentia; Cricetidae
Source: RefSeq, a predicted model, not a curated record